This is a long non-coding RNA of Corvus hawaiiensis (hawaiian crow), 2496 nucleotides long. RefSeq lists it as uncharacterized. The transcript has 2 exons. The record is from RefSeq and is a predicted model, not a curated record. NCBI's taxonomy places the organism in Eukaryota, Metazoa, Chordata, Aves, Passeriformes, Corvidae.
UUAUGACAAUUUUUCUGGCAGUAUUGCAGUGUCAACUCUGGGAACAGUGUUGUCUUAUGUAAGAAAAAAGAGGGCAAUACACCUUUUUCUUUGGUGUUGGUACAUAUGGAUGAAAGAAUAAAUGAGUGCAGAGCUGGUAAUGUGGAUGUGGUUUUCAAGGAUGUCUCUGUAACAAACUGAGAAGGUGUGAGGGACCUUCAGAUCUUCUAAGCUGUGUGUGUCCAUCACAGUUGUGUAGUGCCCCAUAGAACCAAGGCACAACCCUUGUCUUUUGCUUCCCACAUGGGUACAUUCCCCCCCACCUUGUGACCUGAAGACUUGGAGGUCAUUACUGUGUCCAAAUGUUGAACAUCCCCUCUUUUUUUCCCCCAUGUUCAUGGUCUGUAGCACAGUCUGGCGAGACACUGUUUGUAUUUUAUAGUAUCCAACAAUGAAAACUUCUUCAAUGACAACCACUUCGAGCUCCCCUGAGCUCUGUGGAGAUUGCUUGUUUCUUAAUUUAUAUUCCUAUCUUUAAGAGCCAAGGAGACCUUGAAAGACAUUUCAAACCACUAUAAAUUAUAAAUACUGUAUCUGUUUCUUCCUUUUGUGUCAUCUGUAUACAAUUCCCCAAGAACCUUAUACAAACAUGAAACAAAAGAGGCUGAACCAUUAAUAUGUCAGAGGGAAUAGAAGAACCCCGGGAUGUGUACUGCAAGCAGAAGGAAGCAAAACAAUUUAAAUUAAGCCUGGGUGGUUUUCUUUCCUUCUUUUUUUCUGGUCUCCUUAAAGACAAGUCCUUGUUCUCUGCAAACAAAAUGCCUUGAUGCAUUGCCAGAGUAAGCUGAAUUCCAGGUCCGGAUGCUUUGAUGAGAGAUGCUGUCCGUGGAUUGCAUUGCCUUGGUGGCAGUUCCUGGUUGGUUCUGUCUCAUCGGUACUGGGGUAAGUGGGGAGAAACAGACUUGUUGCUAAUGCCUAUCUUCAUCUUAAAAGCAAGUUAAACGCGUUGGGUGCUGCAUCAGCUGGCAAUGGUGGCUAAGGUUGCUGAGGUCUGAGGACAUUUCUCUUUGAUGGAAAAGGUGCUCUCCUUGCCUGACGUAAGUGGGUUUCUGCUGCUUUAUCCCACCUGAGAAGUCACCCCCAUGCAGCUUCAUCCCUGACUCCCAAGCAGCCUCAAGGAUCACAUGUAUUUUUUCAUCACCUGCCUGAAUUGUACUGGCUUUAUCUGCAUGUGUAAGAGGCAAGAAUAACAGGAAAGCCUGUUCUGUAGAUGCAUUAGAGAAGUCAUUUCUCCUUUUGUGGAUGUAAAUAGUUUCUGUUAUCUCUUAAAAGCAGGUGAAGGGAACUUUGCAUGCAACUGAGAUGGGGAAGUGUAUCCACAGCAGAUUCCAGGAAAACUCUCCUAACUGAACUUGCAGCGCAGAUGGGAGGAAUUUUGGUGGACAUCAUCUUGAGACCUCUCAGUGCUGUUGACGCCCAGGAAAAACAUGAUUGGAUUCAGCCCUGAACAAAAUGCAUUCUGUCUGAGGAACCCAGGAGAGCAGGGCGCUCCGUCGUGUCACUUCACUGGCUGUCAGAUUUGUUGGAGGAUCCAAAACUGCAGGAGUGGACAGGGACCCAGGGAAGUGCAUUUUCUCACGUACAACCACCUCAGCCCUGCUUCCCAACCUGGUACACUGGGAUUCAACCUCGCAACACUGAGCUACAGUGCAAAGUCCAUCCUCACCCUGAGUUUCAAGACCUCAUCACCCAUCCCCAGUCUUGAACAGAGCUCUGCAAACCCUCUGGAAGUCCUCCUCUACCUGCAUGCCACCUUAAGGGUAACAGCUGGGAAAUUCAUGUGCUAUGGGACCUGUCAAGCUGCUUGUGAGCAAAACGGGUUGUCGUGUUCUUCUGGACUAUGGCCUUGGGCAAAAAAAACACCUGGUCAAGCAUCUGCUCAGGAAACCACAUCCAGUAGAAAUCACUGAAAGAAAGGGAUGAGGGGGAUGGAUGGAUGGACAGAUGUUGAAAGAGUGAAAAUAAUGGUUGAUGCUUGUUGAUUAAAAUUCUGAUCUUGUGUUUGGAGAACCACCUUGGAUGUCUACCCUAACUCUUCCCUUAUGCUGGUAUUUGGGAUUGGUUUUUGUGUCCUUUUGGCAUGUGGCUACCUCAACGCCCACGCUAUGUAACAGGAGCUUUGGCUCAGCCUUGCUGGCUGCUUUUCCUGGGGUGGGUGCAUGGCUGGGGGUGAGGAGUGAGGGAGGUGACUGUACAUACGAGUAGUGAAGUUGGUGCUGAUGGUCUGGCUGGUGAGAGGCCCAUUGGUGGCGUACAAAGAGACUGUGUAGGUGGUACUGGGCAGCAGGUUGCUCAGCUGGUACUCCUGGUUGGCUCCAUCCACGAGAAUUGUUUCUCCUGCAACUGUAAGCAAAAAGGGAAGAGUUAGGGUAGACAUCCAAGGUGGCUCUCCAAAAUGUGUCUCUGGAUAUGACCUCAUGAAUAAAAGCAUUUCUACUGCUGAAACACCAUAAGGUA